UUAUCCUCAUAAGUUAGACGAAAAGAGGUACCACACAUUGAUUUAUAAGAAAAUUUUUAUUUUAAAAUCAUAAGGUGGUGGCACAGAAUCGGAGGCCCCGACUGUUUACUAAAAACACAACACAGUGCAAUCAUUAAUAUGAUAGUAUACUGUGUGAAAUUUGCUCAAUGCCAUAAACAUAAGAUAAUUUAUGAUUAGUAAAUUAUUGAAGGAUUGGUGAAUAGCGGUCUUAACUAUGAGGAUCCUAAGGUAGCAAAAUAAAUUGGCCAUUAAAUGUGGUCCAGUAUCAAUAAUGUAACGAUGGCCUCACUGUCUCUACAMCUUGCUCAGUGAANUUGAAUUACGCGUGCACAUGCGCGUUACCUCC
This 367-nucleotide ribosomal RNA is filed under the name Leptonia odorifera. Its description in RNAcentral is "partial large subunit ribosomal RNA". It matches the Rfam family "Bacterial large subunit ribosomal RNA", at positions 1722 to 2073 of the family's 2925-position model. The record is from RNAcentral. Lineage: Eukaryota; Fungi; Basidiomycota; Agaricomycetes; Agaricales; Entolomataceae.